CUUUGAUGAGAUCAGUCAGCAUCAUACAGUCUGUACACAGAAACAAGAACUGAUAAAGGCGGCAUUCUCAAGUUGGGAGAGUAAGUGGCUAACACGGCAAGAUGUCUCUCCCAAGGGCUUUCUUUGACAUCACUGCAGACGGUAAAGAAUUGGGCCGUAUUAUCUUUGAGAUGAGGGUUGAUGUGGUCCCUAUAACUUGUGGACAUUUCCUUGAAUUGUGUGAUGGUGCAAGAGGCUUCAGUUACCAGGGCACAAGUUUUAAGAAAAUUAUCUCAGGUCUUUUCUGUGAAGGCGGCCAUUUUAAGUUUCAUGGUAAAAACCCUCUUCCGAUUUACCAUUUCCACAAUGAGAAUUUCACCCUAAAACAUACAGGUGCUGGAAUCCUCUCUUUGGCUCCGGAACAACAAAACAAAUAUGGUACAGAAUUCUGUAUCAGCUUUAGUAUGAACGAAUGGAAAGAUAAUAAAGAGGUUGUUUUUGGUAAAGUUGUUGAAGGUUUUGAAGUGUUAAUGAAGUUAAAUGCCAUGGGAUCAGAAUCUGGGAAUAUAGGGAAAAAUGUGAUUAUAUCACAGAGUGGCAUGCUGUUGUAAAAACAUAAGACCAAUCCUAUCAUCCAAAGCAGUUAAAUACACAAUUGGUUUGGCUGUUGAUUUCAUCUGGUUGUUUUUUGCUCUUCCAAGACUAAAUAAAAAAUCUAUAAAGUGAAA
Bombina bombina (fire-bellied toad) is the source of this 707-nucleotide long non-coding RNA. RefSeq lists it as uncharacterized. The transcript is spliced from 2 exons. The record is from RefSeq and is a predicted model, not a curated record. NCBI's taxonomy places the organism in Eukaryota, Metazoa, Chordata, Amphibia, Anura, Bombinatoridae.